This 485-nucleotide ribosomal RNA is filed under the name uncultured bacterium. Its description in RNAcentral is "bacterial SSU rRNA". It matches the Rfam family "Bacterial small subunit ribosomal RNA", at positions 28 to 521 of the family's 1533-position model. The record is from RNAcentral.
GAUGAACGCUGGCGGCGUGCUUAACACAUGCAAGUCGAACGAUGAAAGCGGGAGCUUGCUCCUGCUGGAUUAGUGGCGAACGGGUGAGUAACACGUGAGUAACCUGCCCUUGACUCUGGGAUAAGCGUUGGAAACGACGUCUAAUACCGGAUACGACCUUCGGAGGCAUCUCCUGGGGGUGGAAAGAAUUUCGGUCAAGGAUGGCCUCGCGGCCUAUCAGCUAGUUGGUGAGGUAAUGGCUCACCAAGGCGACGACGGGUAGCCGGCCUGAGAGGGUGACCGGGCCACACUGGGACUGAGACACGGCCCAGACUCCUACGGGAGGCAGCAGUGGGGAAUAUUGCACAAUGGGCGCAAGCCUGAUGCAGCAACGCCGCGUGAGGGACGACGGCCUUCGGGUUGUAAACCUCUUUUAGUAGGGAAGAAGCGAAGUAGACGGUACCUGCAGAAAAGCAACCGGCUAACUACGUGCCAGCAGCCGCGGU